GACGAACGCUGGCGGCGUGCUUAACACAUGCAAGUCGAACGGUGAAGCGAGUGCUUGCACUCGUGGAUCAGUGGCGAACGGGUGAGUAACACGUGAGUAACCUGCCCAUCACUCUGGGAUAAGCACUGGAAACGGUGUCUAAUACUGGAUACGACCAACCCUUGCAUGGGGUGUUGGUGGAAAGAUUUAUCGGUGAUGGAUGGACUCGCGGCCUAUCAGCUUGUUGGCGGGGUAAUGGCCCACCAAGGCGACGACGGGCAGCCGGCCUGGGAGGGUGACCGGCCACACUGGGACUGAGACACGGCCCAGACUCCUACGGGAGGCAGCAGUGGGGAAUAUUGCACAAUGGGCGAAAGCCUGAUGCAGCGACGCCGCGUGAGGGAUGACGGCCUUCGGGUUGUAAACCUCUUUCAGCAGGGAAGAAGCGAAAGUGACGGUACCUGCAGAAGAAGUACCGGCUAACUACGUG
RNAcentral lists this ribosomal RNA (469 nucleotides) under uncultured bacterium. RNAcentral's name for it is "partial 16S ribosomal RNA". It matches the Rfam family "Bacterial small subunit ribosomal RNA", at positions 28 to 507 of the family's 1533-position model. The record is from RNAcentral.